RNAcentral lists this ribosomal RNA (463 nucleotides) under Triticum aestivum (bread wheat). RNAcentral's name for it is "partial small subunit ribosomal RNA". Lineage: Eukaryota; Viridiplantae; Streptophyta; Magnoliopsida; Poales; Poaceae. The record is from RNAcentral.
CUUGCCGAUGACCAUCGGAAGGCCAAAGUUUUAGCAGAUGGACUGAAGAAAAUCCAACAGUUCACAUUUGAUUUGACUUCAGUGGAGACCAAUAUGUAGCAGGGGAGAUUUGCGUUUUUGGCAAAGAGGAGGGAAGGAACUAACAUGAUGGCUUAGAUCAGUUACUGAUGAACUAACAUGAUGUAUGGAUGCAGAUUAUUAAUGAUGUUGUUUUUGGCUUUUUGCAGUGAACAAUCGAUGCAGGGUAGAACUGCUUAAUGAUACACACGAGUCUGAUUUUCAGGUGGCCAAAUACACACGAGUCUAAACAAGACAUGGGUCUGCUUUCCUCUUAAGCAGAUAUGAUCAUCAAGCUAUUUCCAGCGACAGCAGUGGAGCCUGGGGAGAGGAGAUGAACUUGUGCUUGGGGUGAGGACAGCCUGGGAUGAGGAGAGCCUGGGCAGCAGCCGAGCCCAGCUCCAGC